UUUGAUGGAACAUGUGAACCUUUUUCACAGCAGACAUUUAGCUUGUCAUAGCAGGAAAAGCUCAGCUGAAACUGAUUACCUUAACGAUGGCUCAAGUCCAUCAGGUGUUCCAGUAAGCUAGUUCAGUGAGUUAGCAUGCACAA
This is a long non-coding RNA of Etheostoma cragini (Arkansas darter), 143 nucleotides long. RefSeq lists it as uncharacterized. The record is from RefSeq and is a predicted model, not a curated record. Lineage: Eukaryota; Metazoa; Chordata; Actinopteri; Perciformes; Percidae. The transcript is spliced from 3 exons.